Molecule: ribosomal RNA, 427 nt
Filed under: uncultured bacterium
Lineage: Bacteria
Description: partial 16S ribosomal RNA
Rfam family: Bacterial small subunit ribosomal RNA
Source: RNAcentral
UGGGGAAUAUUGGACAAUGGGCGAAAGCCUGAUCCAGCCAUGCCGCGUGUGUGAAGAAGGUCUUCGGAUUGUAAAGCACUUUAAGUUGGGAGGAAGGGCAUUAACCUAAUACGUUAGUGUUUUGACGUUACCGACAGAAUAAGCACCGGCUAACUCUGUGCCAGCAGCCGCGGUAAUACAGAGGGUGCAAGCGUUAAUCGGAAUUACUGGGAGUAAAGCGCGCGUAGGUGGUUUGUUAAGUUGGAUGUGAAAGCCCCGGGCUCAACCUGGGAACUGCAUCCAAAACUGGCAAGCUAGAGUACGGUAGAGGGUGGUGGAAUUUCCUGUGUAGCGGUGAAAUGCGUAGAUAUAGGAAGGAAUACCAGUGGCGAAGGCGACCACCUGGACUGAUACUGACACUGAGGUGCGAAAGCGUGGGGAGCAAACA